RNAcentral lists this ribosomal RNA (460 nucleotides) under uncultured bacterium. RNAcentral's name for it is "partial 16S ribosomal RNA". It matches the Rfam family "Bacterial small subunit ribosomal RNA", at positions 338 to 795 of the family's 1533-position model. The record is from RNAcentral.
CCUACGGGUGGCAGCAGUGAGGAAUAUUGGUCAAUGGACGAGAGUCUGAACCAGCCAAGUAGCGUGAAGGAUGACUGCCCUAUGGGUUGUAAACUUCUUUUAUAUGGGAAUAAAAUGUUCCAAGUGUGGGAUUUUGUAUGUACCAUAUGAAUAAGGAUCGGCUAACUCCGUGCCAGCAGCCGCGGUAAUACGGCGGAUCCGAGCGUUAUCCGGAUUUAUUGGGUUUAAAGGGAGCGUAGGUGGAUUGUUAAGUCAGUUGUGAAAGUUUGCGGCUCAACCGUAAAAUUGCAGUUGAAACUGGCAGUCUUGAGUACAGUAGAGGUGGGCGGAAUUCGUGGUGUAGCGGUGAAAUGCUUAGAUAGCACGAAGAACUCCGAUUGCGAAGGCAGUUCACUGGACUGCAACUGACACUGAGGCUCGAAAGUGUGGGUAUCAAACAGGAUUAGAUACCCUAGUAGUC